UCCCUUGUGGCUCAGUGGGUAAAGAGUCUGCCUGCAGUGCAGGAGAGCCAUGUUCAACCCCUGGCUUGGGAA
This 72-nucleotide transfer RNA is filed under the name Ovis aries (sheep). It matches the Rfam family "tRNA". Rfam says of the family: Transfer RNA (tRNA) molecules are approximately 80 nucleotides in length. Their secondary structure includes four short double-helical elements and three loops (D, anti-codon, and T loops). Lineage: Eukaryota; Metazoa; Chordata; Mammalia; Artiodactyla; Bovidae. The record is from Rfam by way of RNAcentral.